UACGAAGGGAGCUAGCGUUGUUCGGAAUCACUGGGCGUAAAGCGUACGUAGGCGGAUUGUUAAGUCAGGGGUGAAAGCCCGAGGCUCAACCUCGGAAUUGCCUUUGAUACUGGCUGUCUUGAGUCCGGGAGAGGUGAGUGGAACUCCUAGUGUAGAGGUGAAAUUCGUAGAUAUUAGGAAGAACACCAGUGGCGAAGGCGGCUCACUGGCCCGGAACUGACGCUGAUGUACGAAAGCGUGGGGAGCAAACAGG
RNAcentral lists this ribosomal RNA (253 nucleotides) under uncultured bacterium. RNAcentral describes it as "partial 16S ribosomal RNA". It matches the Rfam family "Bacterial small subunit ribosomal RNA", at positions 524 to 776 of the family's 1533-position model. The record is from RNAcentral.